GCAGCAGCCGCGGUAAUACGUAGGGUGCAAGCGUUAAUCGGAAUUACUGGGCGUAAAGCGUGCGCAGGCGGUGUUGUAAGACUGAUGUGAAAUCCCCGGGCUCAACCUGGGAACUGCAUUGGUGACUGCAACGCUGGAGUGCGGCAGAGGGGGAUGGAAUUCCGCGUGUAGCAGUGAAAUGCGUAGAUAUGCGGAGGAACACCGAUGGCGAAGGCAAUCCCCUGGGCCUGCACUGACGCUCAUGCACGAAAGCGUGGGGAGCAAACAGGAUUAGAUACCCCCGUAGUCCCGUCUCUUAUACA
This 302-nucleotide ribosomal RNA is filed under the name uncultured bacterium. RNAcentral's name for it is "partial 16S ribosomal RNA". It matches the Rfam family "Bacterial small subunit ribosomal RNA", at positions 508 to 808 of the family's 1533-position model. The record is from RNAcentral.